This 763-nucleotide ribosomal RNA is filed under the name uncultured Streptococcus sp. RNAcentral's name for it is "bacterial SSU rRNA". It matches the Rfam family "Bacterial small subunit ribosomal RNA", at positions 28 to 776 of the family's 1533-position model. Lineage: Bacteria; Bacillati; Bacillota; Bacilli; Lactobacillales; Streptococcaceae. The record is from RNAcentral.
GAUGAACGCUGGCGGCGUGCCUAAUACAUGCAAGUAGAACGCUGAAGGAGGAGCUUGCUCUUCUGGAUGAGUUGCGAACGGGUGAGUAACGCGUAGGUAACCUGCCUGGUAGCGGGGGAUAACUAUUGGAAACGAUAGCUAAUACCGCAUAACAGUAGAUAUUGCAUGAUAUCUGCUUGAAAGGUGCAAUUGCAUCACUACCAGAUGGACCUGCGUUGUAUUAGCUAGUUGGUGGGGUAACGGCUCACCAAGGCGACGAUACAUAGCCGACCUGAGAGGGUGAUCGGCCACACUGGGACUGAGACACGGCCCAGACUCCUACGGGAGGCAGCAGUAGGGAAUCUUCGGCAAUGGACGGAAGUCUGACCGAGCAACGCCGCGUGAGUGAAGAAGGUUUUCGGAUCGUAAAGCUCUGUUGUAAGAGAAGAACGAGUGUGAGAGUGGAAAGUUCACACUGUGACGGUAUCUUACCAGAAAGGGACGGCUAACUACGUGCCAGCAGCCGCGGUAAUACGUAGGUCCCGAGCGUUGUCCGGAUUUAUUGGGCGUAAAGCGAGCGCAGGCGGUUAGAUAAGUCUGAAGUUAAAGGCUGUGGCUUAACCAUAGUACGCUUUGGAAACUGUUUAACUUGAGUGCAAGAGGGGAGAGUGGAAUUCCAUGUGUAGCGGUGAAAUGCGUAGAUAUAUGGAGGAACACCGGUGGCGAAAGCGGCUCUCUGGCUUGUAACUGACGCUGAGGCUCGAAAGCGUGGGGAGCAAACAGG